GCGUGCCUCGUGUUGAGGUAGUAGGUUGUAUGGUUGAGAAUAACACCAUCAGGAGAUAACUAUACAGCCUCCUAGCUUUCCCUGAGGCAUCGCCA
Molecule: microRNA precursor, 95 nt
Organism: Naja naja (Indian cobra)
Lineage: Eukaryota; Metazoa; Chordata; Lepidosauria; Squamata; Elapidae
Source: Ensembl